This 582-nucleotide ribosomal RNA is filed under the name uncultured bacterium. RNAcentral describes it as "partial 16S ribosomal RNA". It matches the Rfam family "Bacterial small subunit ribosomal RNA", at positions 355 to 1375 of the family's 1533-position model. The record is from RNAcentral.
UGGGGAAUUUUGGACAAUGGGCGAAAGCCUGAUCCAGCAAUGCCGCGUGUGUGAAGAAGGCCUUCGGGUUGUAAAGCACUUUUGUCCGGAAAGAAAUCCUUGGCUCUAAUACAGUCGGGGGAUGACGGUACCGGAAGAAUAAGCACCGGCUAACUACGUGCCAGCAGCCGCGGUAAUACGUAGGGUGCAAGCGUUAAUCGGAAUUACUGGGCGUAAAGCGUGCGCAGGCGGUUUGCUAAGACCGAUGUGAAAUCCCCGGGCUCAACCUGGGAACUGCAUUGGUGACUGGCAGGCUAGAGUAUGGCAGAGGGGGGUAGAAUUCCACGUGUAGCAGUGAAAUGCGUAGAGAUGUGGAGGAAUACCGAUGGCGAAGGCAGCCCCCUGGGCAAUACUGACGCUCAUGCACGAAAGCGUGGGGAGCAAACAGGAUUAGAUACCCUGGUAGUCCACGCCCUAAACGAUGUCAACUAGUUGUUGGGGAUUCAUUCCUUAGUAACGUAGCUAACGCGUGAAGUUGACCGCCUGGGGAGUACGUCGCAAGAUUAAAACUCAAAGGAAUUGACGGGGUCAUAGCUGUUUCCU